RNAcentral lists this ribosomal RNA (517 nucleotides) under Triops cancriformis cancriformis. RNAcentral describes it as "partial 16S ribosomal RNA". It matches the Rfam family "Bacterial large subunit ribosomal RNA", at positions 1829 to 2607 of the family's 2925-position model. Lineage: Eukaryota; Metazoa; Arthropoda; Branchiopoda; Notostraca; Triopsidae. The record is from RNAcentral.
CUCCUCAAGAAUUAAUUUGAGGUAUAGCCUGCUCUAUGAAUUUAUUUAAAUGGCCGCGGUAUUCUGACCGUGCGAAGGUAGCAUAAUCAUUAGUCUUUUAAUUGAAGGCUGGUAUGAAUGGCUGGACGAGAAAAUUUCUGUCUCUGUUAUAAAUUUUGAAUUUGAUUUUUAAGUGAAAAAGCUUAAAUAUUUUUGGGGGACGAUAAGACCCUAUGGAUCUUUAUAAUGAUGAUUAAUAAAAAGUUUAGAAGUUACAGCUUUUUACUCUAAGUUAUUGGGUUGGGGCGACUGGAAGAAAAAAAUAUCUCUUCUUAAAAAUAAAUAUUAUUUAUAGAAUUAAAAAUGACCCUAAAUUUUGGUUUAGCAGAUCAAGUUACCCUAGGGAUAACAGCGUAAUCUUUUUGGAGAGUUCAUAUCGAUGAAAAGGUUUGCGACCUCGAUGUUGGAUUAAGAGAUCCUUGCGGCGCAGCAGUUGCGGAGGAAAGUCUGUUCGACUUUUAAAUUCUUACGUGAUCUG